CCUACGGGAGGCAGCAGUGAGGAAUAUUGGUCAAUGGGCUUACGCCUGAACCAGCCAAGUCGCGUGAGGGAAGACUGCCCUAUGGGUUGUAAACCUCUUUUGUCAGGGAGCAACGCCGGCUACGUGUAGCCGGACUGAGAGUACCUGAAGAAAAAGCAGCGGCUAACUCCGUGCCAGCAGCCGCGGUAAUACGGAGGAUGCGAGCGUUAUCGGGAUUGAUUGGGUUUAAAGGGGGCGUAGGCGGAAUGCCAAGUCAGCGGUAAAAUCGCGGGGCUCAACCUCGCUCCGCCGUUGAAACUGGCGUUCUUGAGUGGGCGAGAAGUCUGCGUCAUGCGUGGUGUAGCGGUGCCAUGCCUAGCUCUCACGCAGAACUCCGAUUGCGACGGCAGCAUACCGGCGCCCAACUGACGCUGAAGCACGAAAGCGUGGGUAUCGAACAGGAUUAGAUACCCCGGUAGUC
This 460-nucleotide ribosomal RNA is filed under the name uncultured bacterium. RNAcentral describes it as "partial 16S ribosomal RNA". It matches the Rfam family "Bacterial small subunit ribosomal RNA", at positions 338 to 795 of the family's 1533-position model. The record is from RNAcentral.